Molecule: ribosomal RNA, 253 nt
Filed under: uncultured bacterium
Lineage: Bacteria
Description: partial 16S ribosomal RNA
Rfam family: Bacterial small subunit ribosomal RNA
Source: RNAcentral
UACGAAGGGGGCUAGCGUUGUUCGGAAUUACUGGGCGUAAAGCGCACGUAGGCGGAUUGUUAAGUUCGGGGUGAAAUCCCAGGGCUCAACCCUGGAACUGCCUUUAAUACUGGCAAUCUCGAGUCCGAGAGAGGUGAGUGGAAUUCCGAGUGUAGAGGUGAAAUUCGUAGAUAUUCGGAGGAACACCAGUGGCGAAGGCGGCUCACUGGCUCGGUACUGACGCUGAGGUGCGAAAGCGUGGGGAGCAAACAGG